Erinaceus europaeus (western European hedgehog) is the source of this 126-nucleotide non-coding RNA. Lineage: Eukaryota; Metazoa; Chordata; Mammalia; Eulipotyphla; Erinaceidae. The record is from Rfam.
CCAAAAUAUAUUUUGCUAGUUUUGUUGGCUGGUGCGGUCAAGUGGUGAGCUGAGAUCAAAGCCCAGUUUAGGAAACAGGGUUGUUCUCCAUGUGGAUAACUCUGUGCUGAAAACAUGGAGGCAAUC